Long non-coding RNA from Stomoxys calcitrans (stable fly), 656 nucleotides. RefSeq lists it as uncharacterized. Lineage: Eukaryota; Metazoa; Arthropoda; Insecta; Diptera; Muscidae. The record is from RefSeq and is a predicted model, not a curated record. The transcript has 2 exons.
UACCGGAUGGUAUGGUGUGAGCACUUUGAUACUGUUUUUUUUAUUUUUUCGAAGUAUUUGGAAAUUUCUGUAUUUUUUCCCCAUUACAUAUUGAAAUAUUAUAUAGUCCAGGAGAAUACGGAAGAAUUUUAUAAGUUUUUGUGGAGUGAAAGAAUUUUUGCAAGAGAGUUACAUAUUUAAUUUCAACAAAAAGACACUUUUUAUAUUUGGACUAAACUGGAUACAAUGGCAUUUUUAUAUUUAUCUGAGUUUUCGAUAUAUCAGCCAGACGAGGCUUUGGGAUGCCUGUGGUAUCCUGCAGUCUCCUUUAUAAAAAGCAAUAACAAGGUCCAACAUGUAAAUAAAUAAAUGGCGUAAAUUUCCUGCAUCAUAAUUUAGAAGUCUAUGAUGAAUAAAAAUUUCUAAGCCUAUGCGUAGCCAAAAAAAUCAAUACAUUUAAAUUCAAAGAAAUUUCUCCUGACUGCUUAAGAAUAUAGAAAGCUUUCUUCAGCUGAAUAUGAAAACUAAUAACAUUCAGUUUAACAACGUCUUCACGAGUACUUCAGCCCUGAUGAAAAAUUUGAAGCCAUUUGGAUGUCCUUUUUUCUAUUUUCAAAUCCUAAAAUAAAAUUAAGGUCCAACUUCACACAACAAUUUACUUGGAAAGGACCAAUUAA